AGCACACCAAACCUCAAUUAACUGGCCAAAAAUUUCAGAAAACAACUACAGUUAACUAAGCACUGAAAUUUACAUUAGUCAUGGAUCAAACAAUCUGCUGCAGUCAUUGUAUACAAGGGAAGUUUUCGUUUUCAUGCAUCGAAAGGAGGGAAAAAAUGAACAAUACCUCCAGUCCAGCCGUUGGUAGCUUCAGAUCACACCUGAAUCCCGUCAAAUUCAGGGGGAAUCUAACGCUUUGCCUGGCGCCGCCUAGUUUCCCGGCACGUCAGAUUUCCCCAUUGGCGAUGCGAAGAGAAGCCUGCUACUCGACCGGCCUCAUCACGGCUAGAGGGCCAGUGUUCAGAACUGGCAGCCUACAGACGAGGAAAAGGAAAACCAAAUCAAUAAGAACAGGCUGUAGAGGAGAAUUAGUGGAAAACACGUCACCUGCACUCUCCAGGCCGAGGGACUUCCAUAGACUCCGGCGUGGUGAAGCAGGUGGACUGGAUCUGAAAGAGGAAGCAGGCGGCGUGGUCAACCAAAUCCAAAUCCACAAAGUAUGCCGGGGGAUUAAGCACGUCAGGACAUCAGGGUGAAGGGGGGAAAUAAUAUACAUACCUGUCGGAGUCGACCCCAAACAUCUUGCCGGAGAGCGACGGCGCCCCGUCGGCCUUGGGAGAGACAGGGGAGCGGAGAAGAAGAGUUGUUCCGUGGCUGGGGUAAUUCCACGAGGUCAAGGAUAACGGCAGGAGGCGGCACACGAGCAGGAUAUGGGCCAAACAUGUACGCUGGGCCGAUGUAUUCCGG
This 786-nucleotide long non-coding RNA is filed under the name Triticum aestivum (bread wheat). Its description in RNAcentral is "long non-coding RNA (TAES_LNC018393)". The record is from RNAcentral. Lineage: Eukaryota; Viridiplantae; Streptophyta; Magnoliopsida; Poales; Poaceae.